ACCCGCUGAACUUAAGCAUAUCAAUAAGCGGAGGAAAAGAAACUAACAAGGAUUCCCCUAGUAACGGCGAGUGAAGCGGGAAGAGCUCAAAUUUGAAAUCUGGUAGCCUUCGGUUGCCCGAGUUGUAAUCUAGAGAAGUGUUUUCCGCGUUGGCCCAUGUACAAGUCCCUUGGAACAGGGCGUCAUAGAGGGUGAGAAUCCCGUCCUUGACAUGGACCCCCAAUGCUUUGUGAUACACUUUCAACGAGUCGAGUUGUUUGGGAAUGCAGCUCAAAAUGGGUGGUGAAUUCCAUCUAAAGCUAAAUAUUGGCGAGAGACCGAUAGCGAACAAGUACCGUGAGGGAAAGAUGAAAAGCACUUUGGAAAGAGAGUUAAACAGUACGUGAAAUUGUUGAAAGGGAAACGAUUGAAGUCAGUCAUGCUCUUUGGAUUAAGCCGUUCUGCGGUGUAUUUCAUUGAGCGGGGUCAACAUCAGUUUUGAUCGCUGGAAAAGGGCAGGAGGAAGGUAGCACUCUCGGGUGAACUUAUAGCCUCUUGUCGUAUACAGUGAUUGGGACUGAGGAACGCAGCAUGCCUUUUGGCCGGGAUUCGUCCACGUACAUGCUUAGGAUGUUGACAUAAUGGCUUU
This 628-nucleotide ribosomal RNA is filed under the name uncultured fungus. RNAcentral describes it as "eukaryotic LSU rRNA". It matches the Rfam family "Eukaryotic large subunit ribosomal RNA", at positions 23 to 641 of the family's 3401-position model. Lineage: Eukaryota; Fungi. The record is from RNAcentral.